GACGAAGGUGGCAAGCGUUAUUCGGAUUUACUGGGCAUAAAGCGCGCGUAGGCGGCUUGGCAAGUCGGGGGUGAAAGCCCGCAGCUCAACUGCGGAACUGCCUUCGAUACUGCCGGGCUUGAGGGCGGGAGGGGUGAUUGGAACUCCAGGUGUAGCGGUGAAAUGCGUAGAUAUCUGGAGGAACACCGGAGGCGAAGGCGAAUCACUGGACCGCAUCUGACGCUGAGGCGCGAAAGCUAGGGGAGCAAACAGG
Molecule: ribosomal RNA, 253 nt
Filed under: uncultured bacterium
Lineage: Bacteria
Also listed under: 1 other name
Description: partial 16S ribosomal RNA
Rfam family: Bacterial small subunit ribosomal RNA
Source: RNAcentral